UGCUCGACGCCUGGAACUUAGACUCAACCUCAGUGUAAUUGCGUAGGUGAGCAAAGUUUCAGGUGUUCGAGCGC
Ascaris suum (pig roundworm) is the source of this 74-nucleotide non-coding RNA. The record is from Rfam. NCBI's taxonomy places the organism in Eukaryota, Metazoa, Nematoda, Chromadorea, Rhabditida, Ascarididae.